AUGAGAAGGAAGUAUUUCAAGAAUGAUAUGACAAACUGUGUGACUACAAUGAGGAGAUAUACUUAUGACAUGGCUUAAAGAAUACAAACUAAACAUUACAUGGACAAUCAAGAUUUACAUGGGCAAUCAAGAUUUGUUGGAUAUCAUGUUUUUUCAUAAUCCAGAAAGUCUUUUUGCCUUUCCGUGUCAAUGGAAUUAUCAUCCAGAUCAUUGUCUAUAUGGAAGCAGUUGCCAAGAAGCAGAAGAAGGAAUCUUGAUUCUUCAGGGAACAGAGGUGUUUACCAUGAUGAUAAGCAACCAGCAUUUAGAGUUGUUUAUGAAGCACUGAGAAAUUGUUCUUUUAAGAUGACAACAUUCAUUCCCUAAUAAAACCUUUAGAACUGGAACUACAAAAAGCAGUGCAUACAUACCGUGGAAAAAUUUACAAAAUAUUUGUCAAACAACUAACAAAAAGCAUAAGAGAUCAUUAUGCUGGAUCACCAAAGGAAAG
RNAcentral lists this long non-coding RNA (490 nucleotides) under Homo sapiens (human). RNAcentral describes it as "non-protein coding lnc-TUBA3C-18:1". Lineage: Eukaryota; Metazoa; Chordata; Mammalia; Primates; Hominidae. The record is from RNAcentral.